Long non-coding RNA from Poecilia latipinna (sailfin molly), 609 nucleotides. RefSeq lists it as uncharacterized. NCBI's taxonomy places the organism in Eukaryota, Metazoa, Chordata, Actinopteri, Cyprinodontiformes, Poeciliidae. The record is from RefSeq and is a predicted model, not a curated record. The transcript has 3 exons.
CUAUUAUGGACAGAGGUAUGUUUCAAAGCAAAUGUAAUCGUUUAGCAAAUUUUUUGUUGCUAUUUAACAAUCUUGUAUGGUGUGCUCUGUCUUUUAUGUUCUUUUGCCUAGAAACAAAAGAAGUGAUUUGGAGAGAGACGGGACAAUCCGUUACGAUCCGGUGCAGAAUUAAUACUGAUCAAGAUUUUCUGGUAUUGAAAAUGGGACAUAACGAGGAAACUGAGGUUGCCUUUAUCAACAGAGCCUCCAGAAAAAGACAUUUUCAUAAAAGAAUUGCAGGAAGAGUUCAAACAAAUGGAACAUUCCCAAGUGUGGAUAUUGUGAUUGAAAACUUGAAUGUAAGUGACUCAGGGCCGUACUGGUGUGUGUAUUCAAAACUAGAUGACAGUUACCGUCAACUGGUCACAAAGGGUUAUGGAUCUGUUCUUCUAAUGGUGACCGGAAAUAGUUGUGAAUCAACAACAACAACCAUUAUGGAAGUGCCAAAAUGUGAUGCAUCAAGUCUUACUUUGGUUGUGGUUUAUGUUCGCAUCACCGUCAUUGUUCUGAUUGGCCUCAUGCUCGGUUUUAGCACUUUGAUCAUGUACAAGAGCCACAACAAAUAACCAC